This 21-nucleotide small nuclear RNA is filed under the name Arabidopsis thaliana (thale cress). RNAcentral's name for it is "snRNA_10365". Lineage: Eukaryota; Viridiplantae; Streptophyta; Magnoliopsida; Brassicales; Brassicaceae. The record is from RNAcentral.
CUUAGCUAAGAGAUAAAAGAA